This 540-nucleotide ribosomal RNA is filed under the name uncultured bacterium. RNAcentral's name for it is "bacterial SSU rRNA". It matches the Rfam family "Bacterial small subunit ribosomal RNA", at positions 98 to 633 of the family's 1533-position model. The record is from RNAcentral.
GCGGAUGGGUGAGUAACGCGUAGGCAACCUGCCUGAAGGGCGGGGAUAACGUUCCGAAAGGGGCGCUAAUACCCGAUGAUGCAGCGGUCCCGCAUGGGAACAGUUGUUAAAGGUUUCGGCCACCUUCAGAUGGGCCUGCGUGCCAUUAGCUAGUUGGUAGGGUAAGAGCCUACCAAGGCGAUGAUGGCUAGGGGGUCUGAGAGGAUGAUCCCCCACACUGGGACUGAGACACGGCCCAGACUCCUACGGGAGGCAGCAGUGAGGAAUCUUGCGCAAUGGAGGAAACUCUGACGCAGCCACGCCGCGUGCUGGAAGACGGCCCUAUGGGUUGUAAACAGCUUUUACCAGGGAAGAACCCGGGGGAUUCGUCCCCCGCUGACGGUACCUGGUGAAUAAGCACCGGCUAACUCCGUGCCAGCAGCCGCGGUAAUACGGAGGGUGCAAGCGUUGUCCGGAAUCAUUGGGUGUAAAGGGUGCGCAGGCGGGUCAGUAAGUCGAGGGUGAAAUCUUGCCGCUUAACGGUAAAAUGGCCUUCGAUAC